This 404-nucleotide ribosomal RNA is filed under the name uncultured bacterium. RNAcentral's name for it is "bacterial SSU rRNA". It matches the Rfam family "Bacterial small subunit ribosomal RNA", at positions 355 to 775 of the family's 1533-position model. The record is from RNAcentral.
UAGGGAAUAUUGCUUAGUGGGCGAAAGCCUGAAGCAGCAACGCCGCGUGCACGAUGAAGGUCUUCGGAUCGUAAAGUGCUUUUUUAGAGGAUGAGGAAGGACAGUACUCUAAGAAUAAGCCUCGGCUAACUACGUGCCAGCAGCCGCGGUAAAACGUAGGAGGCGAGCGUUAUCCGGAUUUACUGGGCGUAAAGCGUGUGCAGGUGGUUUGGUAAGUUGGAUGUGAAAGCUCCUGGCUUAACUGGGAGAGGUCGUUCAAUACUGCCAGACUCGAGAGUGAGAGAGGGAGGUGGAAUUCCGGGUGUAGUGGUGAAAUGCGUAGAUAUCCGGAGGAACACCAGUGGCGAAAGCGGCCUCCUGGCUCAUUUCUGACACUCAUACACGAAAGCUAGGGUAGCAAACGG